This 403-nucleotide ribosomal RNA is filed under the name Verrucomicrobiota bacterium. Its description in RNAcentral is "Verrucomicrobia bacterium partial 16S ribosomal RNA". It matches the Rfam family "Bacterial small subunit ribosomal RNA", at positions 355 to 776 of the family's 1533-position model. RNAcentral also lists the same sequence under 1 other name. Lineage: Bacteria; Pseudomonadati; Verrucomicrobiota. The record is from RNAcentral.
UGGGGAAUAUUGCACAAUGGAGGGAACUCUGAUGCAGCGACGCCGCGUGAACGAAGAAGGCUUUCGAGUCGUAAAGUUCUUUUAUAUGGGAAGAUAAUGGCGGUACCAUAAGAAAAAGCCCCGGCUAACUACGUGCCAGCAGCCGCGGUAAUACGUAGGGGGCUAGCGUUGUCCGGAAUCACUGGGCGUAAAGGGUUCGCAGGCGGAAAUGCAAGUCAGGUGUAAAAGGCAGUAGCUUAACUACUGUAAGCAUUUGAAACUGCAUAUCUUGAGAAGAGUAGAGGUAAGUGGAAUUUUUAGUGUAGCGGUGAAAUGCGUAGAUAUUAAAAAGAAUACCGGUGGCGAAGGCGACUUACUGGGCUCAUUCUGACGCUGAGGAACGAAAGCGUGGGUAGCAAACAGG